GACGAACGCUGGCGGCGUGCUUAACACAUGCAAGUCGAACGAAGUGGCGAACGGGUGAGUAACGCGUAAUCAACCUGCCCUUCAGAGGGGGACAACAGUGGGAAACGACUGCUAAUCCCGCAUACUGAAGGAGGGGAUUGUGUCUGAAUAGCUAGUUGGAGGGGUAACGGCCCACCAAGGCGAUGAGCACUAGCCGGUCUGGGAGGGUGAACGGCCACACUGGGACUGAGACACGGCCCAGACUCCUACGGGAGGCAGCAGUGGGGAAUCUUCCGCAAUGGACGGAAGUCUGACGGAGCAACGCCGCGUGAGUGAUGACGGCCUUCGGGUUGUAAAGCUCUGUUAAUCGGGACGCGGUACCGGAAUAGAAAGCCACGGCUAACUACGUGCCAGCCGCCGCGGUAAUAC
This 408-nucleotide ribosomal RNA is filed under the name uncultured bacterium. RNAcentral's name for it is "partial 16S ribosomal RNA". It matches the Rfam family "Bacterial small subunit ribosomal RNA", at positions 28 to 526 of the family's 1533-position model. The record is from RNAcentral.